UUUAGAAUAGAUUCCCUGUAGUCCACGCCGUAAACGAUGUCGACUUGGGAAGGUUGUGGCCUUGAAGGCGUGGCUUCCGGAGCUAACGCGUUAAGUCGACCGCCUGGGGAGUACGGCCGCAAGGUUAAACUCAAAUGAAUUGACGGCGGCCCGCACAAGCGGUGGAGCAUGUGGUUUAAUUCGAUGCAACGCGAAGAACCUUACCUGGUCUUGACAUCCACGGAAGUUUUCAGAGAUGAGAUAUUGCUCCGACCUUCGGGACCACCUGUGAGACAGGUGCUGCAUGGCUGUCGUCAGCUCGUGCCGA
Molecule: ribosomal RNA, 307 nt
Filed under: Escherichia fergusonii
Lineage: Bacteria; Pseudomonadati; Pseudomonadota; Gammaproteobacteria; Enterobacterales; Enterobacteriaceae
Description: bacterial SSU rRNA
Rfam family: Bacterial small subunit ribosomal RNA
Source: RNAcentral